Molecule: unclassified non-coding RNA, 307 nt
Filed under: Hevea brasiliensis (rubber tree)
Lineage: Eukaryota; Viridiplantae; Streptophyta; Magnoliopsida; Malpighiales; Euphorbiaceae
Source: RNAcentral
AAUCACAGCGGCCGCCGUUGGCAAUAGCUGCCACCUGAGCAACUGUCAAGGUCUCUCCGCCUAACUUGACCAAAGGCUUCCUAUAUUCAGCCACCAUCUUUUUCACUUCAUCUAAAUGGCUACCAUUCAUUGACUCAGCAGCCAGACCCCAACUCAGUGGGUCACGAGUCGUGCACAAAGAACCGUUCUGGUGGCCAUUCUGAGAGAAUGUUGCCAUGUUUAAGAAAUACCCAGAUCGCUAAACAAUCAAAUGAAGUGAAGUUGACGAAGAAAAGAGGAGAAGACAACAGGAAAUCUUGAGAUGGUU